AACAUUUUUGCUGUUAAAAAGAUAAACUAAGGGAUGUUAAAAAUUUUGAGUUUAUUCGAGCAAAAAUUGAUUGGAAUUAGGCGCUGCCAAACCAAAUGUAGUUAGGAGCACUGAGCCAACAGAAUUCAGGGGAAAGGCUUAUAUAGACAGUGCAGAAGCAGGGAAAGGAAAUUAUUUGAUUGGCUAUAUAUUAAAGUCUAGUUGGCUUUUUGUGAUUGGUUAUCCUUAGCGUUUUGAUAUUGGAACCUUGAGGCAUUUACAGGCUUAGAUUUUGGUUUGCACACAUUGGCCACUGUGGCAUUAGAGCCACCUUGAUCUAACGGCCUCCUUGUCUAAUCAAUUUAACAGACUUGAGGGAUAAAAGGAGCUAACCCCGCAGAGAUCUGGAGAUGGAAGAGAAAGGCUGUGAAGCAAAAGAUGUGCGUGGUAAAGUUGGGAGGAUGGAAGGAGCAGCUGGAAGGAGCCCCCCGUGAAAGAGAAGAAUUGCGGUGGUAGUAAGCAGCAUGUGCUUCCAUAGCACCUUCAUGCCUGGGACGCCGAAGAUUUCAGUCCUGGGUUGCUGUCAUGGUGGUGACGAGUCUCAGAAAUCUCAGAACCAUGGAGCCUGCAUGUGGCUAAGAGCUUGGGCUCUAACCUCAGAGUCUGAACCCCUAUUUUUGCCUAAGGAACGUGGUUUUCCUAGGCUUCAAACCACUCAACAUGUGUGGCCUCCAACAGACCUGAAGCCACGGGUAGGUGGGAUCUUGUCUCAUCUGAAGGGGUUCUUCUGUGACUUAUAGGGAGAUGUUGCAUUCUCCUUAUGUGUAACAUCUGGUCUACUAAUUAAGCUGAUAAUUUUCCAUUGGAUACAGCUUUAACAAGAGAUAUAACCCAAUUUAGUUUCUGUCUUUCUCUUUUGUGGUGGAGAUUUGCUCUUUUGGGAUUGGUUUGUUUGUUUUAGUCUUACCACAAUUACAAGAAAGCAUUUUAUUUUUAUUUUUAUUUUUAUUUUAUUUUAUUUAUUUAUUCGGCAGAGACAGAGACAGCCAGCGAGAGAGGGAACACAAGCAGGGGGAGUGGGAGAGGAAGGAGCUGGCUCAUAGCGGAGGAGCCUGAUGUGGGGCUCGAUCCCAGAACGCCGGGAUCACACCCUGAGCCGAAGGCAGACGCUUAACUGCUGUGCCACCCAGGCGCCCCAAGAAAGCAUUUUUAAAAAUCAUUUUUAAAUUAUUGAACUAUAAUUGACAUACAAUGUUAUAUUAGUUUCGGGUGUAAAACAUGCUGAUUCAACAAUUCUAUAUAUUACAAGAAAGCAUUUUUAUUAGAACUAGUGCUAUACACCUUGUAGCUGGGCCUUUCUAACAUUCUGCAGAGGUGCAAAUGAGCAUUUGUCAAAAACCGGCACUUGUCCAAAGCUGUGCAAGGGAGGGAGCUCAAGUCCAUCUCAUAUACGUAAUUGAGGAACAAAAAGAAGGCCAGUGUUGUUGAGUUUAGGGAAGGAGAUAGGACAAAGAGGUAGGCAGGGACUAGAUCAUUAGGGCCUUGAUAAUCAUGAGAGAUUAAAUUUUAUAGCUAACUGUAAUUGGGAGCCACUGGAAGUCUUAAACAACGACAUGACAAAAUAGGAUAGGUAUUAUAAACGGAUCAAUUUGGAGCUAUAAAUUUUGGGGAAAUAUCUGCUACACAAAUAACUAAAGAAAACUAGUAUUCAGAAUAUAAAAAGUACUCCUAUAGAUCAAUACGAUAAAAGACAAAAAACACAAUUGGAAAAUCAGCAAAAUACUUGAGUCAGC
Molecule: long non-coding RNA, 1772 nt
Filed under: Ursus maritimus (polar bear)
Lineage: Eukaryota; Metazoa; Chordata; Mammalia; Carnivora; Ursidae
Description: lncRNA (ENSUMAG00000002620.1)
Source: RNAcentral